Long non-coding RNA from Ailuropoda melanoleuca (giant panda), 425 nucleotides. RefSeq lists it as uncharacterized. Lineage: Eukaryota; Metazoa; Chordata; Mammalia; Carnivora; Ursidae. The transcript is spliced from 4 exons. The record is from RefSeq and is a predicted model, not a curated record.
GAGCCGUAGCUGUAUGUGUGAACAAGGCUGAAGUUUUCAUAGAAUUGUUAUUUCUGUUGCAUGUGUCUAUGCAUUAGGCACCAGUCCGCAUUCCUCCAACGUCAGCAUGAAUCUUGUGGCUCCGUCUUCUUCCCCGGCUGCCGCCGACACAGCAGGGUCUGGUACCUCUGUCGGGGAGUAAAGCAGGUGUGCCCAGAUGAGAAGACUGAGGUCUGCGGAGGUUAAUGCACUUGAGCAAGAUCCCAUAGCUGAAGUGUUCACUUCAAUUAGUAGAGUGUGUCAAGGAUCUGAGAUAUGAAGACCUUACCAUUGAUGGAAUCCCCUGGGAAGCCCAAUGCUCAGCUCUUCCAGCAAUCAGCAAGGAAAGAGACAGAGACAGCCAGCGAGAGAUGGAACACAAACAGGGGGAGUGGGAGAGGAAGAAG